This 513-nucleotide ribosomal RNA is filed under the name uncultured Entrophospora. RNAcentral describes it as "SSU rRNA". It matches the Rfam family "Eukaryotic small subunit ribosomal RNA", at positions 569 to 1078 of the family's 1831-position model. Lineage: Eukaryota; Fungi; Glomeromycota; Glomeromycetes; Entrophosporales; Entrophosporaceae. The record is from RNAcentral.
AGCAGCCGCGGUAAUUCCAGCUCCAAUAGCGUAUAUUAAAGUUGUUGCAGUUAAAAAGCUCGUAGUUGAAUUUCGGGAUUGACGUGAUGGUCGUGCCUUAAGGGGUAUGAACUGUCGCAGUUGAUUUCUCACCUUCUGGAGAAGCAUGAUGUCCUUAAUUGGGUGUCAUGUGGAACCAGGACCUUUACCUUGAAAAAUUAGAGUGUUUAAAGCAGGCAUUUUGCUCGAAUACAUUAGCAUGGAAUAAUAGAAUAGGACGGCAUGGUUCUAUUUUGUUGGUUUCUAGGAUCACCGUAAUGAUUAAUAGGGAUAGUUGGGGGCAUUAGUAUUCAAUUGUCAGAGGUGAAAUUCUUGGAUUUAUUGAAGACUAACUACUGCGAAAGCAUUUGCCAAGGAUGUUUUCAUUAAUCAAGAACGAAAGUUAGGGGAUCGAAGACGAUCAGAUACCGUCGUAGUCUUAACCAUAAACUAUGCCGACUAGGAAUCAGACGAUGUUAAUUUUUAAUGACUUCG